GACGAACGCCGGCGGCGUGCUUAACACAUGCAAGUCGAGCGGUAAGGCCCUUUCGGGGGUACGACGAGCGGCGAACGGGUGAGUAACACGUGGGUGACCUGCCCUCAGCUCUGGGAUAAGCCUGGGAAACUGGGUCUAAUACUGGAUAUGACUCCACGGUGCAUGUCGUGGGGUGGAAAGCCUUGUGCGGCUGAGGAUGGGCCCGCGGCCUAUCAGCUUGUUGGUGGGGUGAUGGCCUACCAAGGCGACGACGGUAGCCGGCCUGAGAGGGCGACCGGCCACACUGGGACUGAGACACGGCCCAGACUCCUACGGGAGGCAGCAGUGGGGAAUCUUGCGCAAUGGGCGAAAGCCUGGCGCAGCG
This 364-nucleotide ribosomal RNA is filed under the name uncultured bacterium. RNAcentral describes it as "bacterial SSU rRNA". It matches the Rfam family "Bacterial small subunit ribosomal RNA", at positions 28 to 393 of the family's 1533-position model. The record is from RNAcentral.